GAGAGAUGGCAGAGUGGUCGAUUGCAACGGUCUUGAAAACCGUCGUACGGAGACGUACCGGGGGUUCGAAUCCCUCUCUCUCC
This 83-nucleotide transfer RNA is filed under the name uncultured Prevotella sp. It matches the Rfam family "tRNA". Rfam says of the family: Transfer RNA (tRNA) molecules are approximately 80 nucleotides in length. Lineage: Bacteria; Pseudomonadati; Bacteroidota; Bacteroidia; Bacteroidales; Prevotellaceae. The record is from RNAcentral.